UACGUAGGGGGCAAGCGUUGUCCGGAAUCAUUGGGCGUAAAGCGCGCGUAGGCGGCCCUGUAAGUCCGUUGUGAAAGUCAAAGGCUCAACCUUUGAAAGCCGAUGGAUACUGCAGGGCUAGAGUCCGGAAGAGGAGAGUGGAAUUCCUGGUGUAGCGGUGAAAUGCGCAGAUAUCAGGAAGAACACCCGUGGCUAAGGCGGCUCUCUAGUACGGUACUGACGCUGAGACGCGAAAGCGUGGGGAGCGAACAGG
RNAcentral lists this ribosomal RNA (253 nucleotides) under uncultured bacterium. RNAcentral's name for it is "partial 16S ribosomal RNA". It matches the Rfam family "Bacterial small subunit ribosomal RNA", at positions 524 to 776 of the family's 1533-position model. The record is from RNAcentral.